UACAUAAAAACACACACAGAAAUAAAUUAAAGAUCGCUUUGAAUAACUGAAACUGAAGAGGGAGUGUUGAAAGUAGAGAGAGAAAGUCCGAAGACCCAAACCAAACAGAAGCAUAAAAACUGCUUGUGUUUCUGUUGUGUUGUGUUUUGAAGUGUUUUGUGUAAAUUCAAGAAGCAAAUUUGAAGCACACGCAUAAACACAGACACAAAAAACCCAACCAAACAGUCCUGUCCGAUUCGAUCGGGGUCUCUCAUUGUACAUACAUUCGGGAUUCUCUUCUCCGGUUAUUUGUCUGCUUGGUCCGGUUCUCCGUCCGCACAUCUUAUGGAGCGGUACGGUCGGGUCAGUGAAGGUUCACAGUCCGAUCCGUCACCUGAAUGGAGACCCGAAACCGGACUCGAAGAGUCUAUGUGGCAGUUGGGAGUCGCUGUGGGAUCGUACCCGGAGCGGCCUGACGAGGCCGAUUGUAGUCACUACUUGAAGACCGGGUUUUGCGGGUAUGGGCCUAGGUGUCGGUUCAAUCAUCCACGUGACCGGGGCGGGGUUAUGGGAGCUGCAAGAGCCGGUGCAGGAGAGUAUCCAGAGCGAGUGGACGAGCCCUUGUGUAAGUACUAUAUGAGGACUGGAACAUGUAAAUUUGGUCCAUCGUGUAAAUACCACCAUCCUAGACAAGGAGCUGGUUCUGUCACUCAUGUGACCCUAAAUUAUCAUGGUUACCCAUUACGUCCGGAUGAAAAAGAGUGUUCGUAUUAUAUGAAAACUGGGCAGUGUAAGUUUGGUACAACAUGUAAAUUCCAUCAUCCACAGCCAGCUUCUCAAGUUACACCUGUGCCUACUCCAGUACCUCCACCCACUGUAUAUCCACCUGUGCAAUCGCCAUCUGUUCCUUCAGCUCAACAGUAUCCCUUUGUAGUUGCAAGGCCUCCUCUGUUGCCAAGCCCAUAUGGGCAAGGCCCUUAUGGAGGCCCUUAUGGUACUGUGCUGGUUUCCCCAGGCAUGGUUCCCUAUCAAAGUUGGAGUCCUUACCCGACACCCAUGAACCCAGUUGCCCCUCCUGGCACUCAACCCACUCCUGCAUCAAGCUCAAUUUAUGGGAUGACCCCUCUCUCUGCUUCAGCACCUGCCUAUACUGGAGCUUAUCGAACAAUACCUUCUACAGUUGGUCCUUCAAGCAGUAGCCAGAAGGAGCACUCAUUUCCAGAGAGACCUGGGCAACCAGACUGUCAAUAUUACAAGAAAACUGGGGAGUGUAAAUUUGGAUCCUCAUGUAAAUAUCAUCAUCCUCGAGAAAUGACUGUAUCAAAAACUGAUGUCAACCUCAGCCCCGUGGGUCUUCCUUUACGUCCAGGUGCCCCUCCUUGCACUCAUUAUACGCAACGUGGAGUAUGCAAGUUUGGGCGUGAUUGCAAAUUUGAUCAUCCAAUGGGAGCACUAAGCUACAGCCCAUCUGCAUCUUCUCUAGCUGACAUGCCGGUCGCACCCUACCCUGUGGGCUCUUCAAUUGGUACCUUAGCCCCGUCAUUCUCGUCAUCAGACUUGCGGCCAGAACUUGUUUCAGGAUCCAGCAAGGAGCCUGUUUCAACAAGAAUGUCUUCAACAAUUAGCUCAACUAGUGGACCAGUGGGUUCAAUAUUUUCAAAGAGUGGACCCAUUCCUCAUUCAACCUCACAACAAUCUGGGCAGAGUUCUGGCUCUUCAACUGCUGGCAGCAGCAGCAGCACUGAGACUUAAACAUCAAACUAAGCAAGAAGAAAGGCUCUUCUUCAUUCCUCUUUUUGAUCAAAAUCAUGAACCAAAUCUUAUUUUUUCUGUAAGUUGUUAAAAUAGGAGGCUUCAUUUCUCUGUUAUGGUUUCACAACUCAGGUCUAGCCCCCAUCAGCUCUGAUUAUCUCUGUGUUCAUAUAAUCUCUUAUAUGGCCGGCCCUUUUUAUCUUGAAUAAGCCAUGGCCAAACCUCAGAGCUUAAGCAAAACCCAAUAGCCUUUACACCUUGCUUUUGAAUAACCACGGAAGAAUCUUCUGUUCCAUUAGGGAAGUCUGUGUUUUCCCCUCCGAUUUUUGGAGUUAUGUUUAUUUAUGCUCCAACCUUUUUCGGAACGCAAAAGAUCCGACCCACAGCAUUUUUCCUUUACAUCGAUCAGUGUGUUCAUGCUAUCUUUUUUAGAUUUCUUCUUAAGUUCAGGAACAAGCUUCCAAUUCAUCAUAGAAAGGAAUUUGAAGGUAUCAAAAGGAUUAAAGAGACUCAAAAGGAAGCAUCACCAUGCUACCUUAUAUGGGAUUUAGAUAAUGCAAGACAUGGCAAUAAAUUUAUUAUCCUAUACAAAUAUAUGGAAAAUCACUCUUGACUCUUAAUGAUAAAUUUCAAUUUCAAUUCUUGUAAUGGAAAGAUAGUUGGAGGGUGAAGUUGCCAUUGACAGAGAGAAGAAAAGAUACAAGUACAGGGACAACAAGGUUUUAUUUCGCUGAAAUGCCAAAUUAAUAUCAAUAGUUACGCAUCUGUUUCUGUGAAUUUAUUGAAAGAGACUCUGCAAGUGUUCAUAGUGGGCCACAACGCUCAGUUAGUAUCAUUGUAUGUUCUUAAGCAACAAUUCAUAAUCUAUUUUAUUUGCUGUUUCAGGUACUUUUGUUGAA
RNA transcript from Mangifera indica (mango), 2630 nucleotides. It is a transcript of the gene named zinc finger CCCH domain-containing protein 58, with no coding region annotated. Lineage: Eukaryota; Viridiplantae; Streptophyta; Magnoliopsida; Sapindales; Anacardiaceae. The record is from RefSeq and is a predicted model, not a curated record. The transcript is spliced from 8 exons.